AUCUGAUUUACAGAAUUGGAGUGCUUCCUGAAAGGGAACAGUGUGUGGCUCUCUUGACCAAUUCUGUAAAGCUCUUGUGGUUUUUUAAUUGACUAAUCUUCUUGAUGCACUUUGUUGUUUUUCCAUUUGGAUCCCUCUGAACUUGAAUUUUCGAAAGCUGUUAUAAAUCUAAAAAGGAGGUUCACAAAACUUUCUGUGCAUUGACAUGACUCAUGAGGUAGCAGAUCUGUGGAAAAACCUCUCUGCAGGAUUUUUUGUUUUGGAGCAGCCCUCUCCAGUUCAUCCCAGCCAUGGAGUGGUCCUGCAUUGCUGUCCUCUCCUUACAUCACAAAGGAAACCAGACAUCAUGUGCACUUUUUUAAUCUCCAGAUUGGGAAUACAUUUGAAGAUAAAUUUUGACAGCCGUCAACAGAUAAAGAUUUGCAUUGGGACAAGAACAUACCCCGGAAUUUUCAAGAUAAUUCAAUUUUAGAUUCAAUUUCUGCUUCAGAAACUAGCAUUUAUCAAUUCUACCAUAUUAAAAUUCAGGUCUGAAAAUAAAAUGAAGCCAGAAAGCA
Molecule: long non-coding RNA, 557 nt
Filed under: Cyanistes caeruleus (blue tit)
Lineage: Eukaryota; Metazoa; Chordata; Aves; Passeriformes; Paridae
Description: lncRNA (ENSCCEG00000008831.1)
Source: RNAcentral